CCCCGCCUCUGUGCAUUGUGGGAUGGCUGGACUUUAAUGACCGCCAUGUUGGCCAUGGCGUAUUGAAGCCGACAAAAGGAACCCAAACGGACCGGCGGCAAAAACACGCCUUUCUUCCGCUUCAAACCCCGAUUUCUCUUCACGGAAUGGAACUAGGAUCUUCAGACUCUCAUCCAUGAUAGGUUCCGGGCGGCUCCGUGCACGUUUUGCUGGGUACAGGCGUCAACAUUUCAUCGGCUGUUGAAAAAAAAGCGCAUCUUAUAUAUAUAUUUAUAUAUUUCCUUCCACCAUCACCGAACCCCCCCCUCCCCCUCCCCUCUCCCUUCCCCUUUCCCCACCACCACCCCCUCCUCCUCCUCCCUCCCGCGGUGGUGUUUGGGUUUGUAAUUCGCCGCGAAUACGGGCACACAAAUCGAGGGAGAGCGAGAAUAAUGAGCAAACUGUCGUUUCGGGCAAGGGCGCUCGAUGCAUCGAAACCCCUGCCCGUGUACCGGUGCGAGGACUUGCCGGAUCUGCACGAAUAUGCCUCAAUCAACCGCGCCGUGCCCCAGAUGCCCACGGGGAUGGAGAAAGAGGAAGAAUCGGAACAUCAUCUUCAGCGGGCUAUUUCAGCACAACAGGUCUAUGGAGAGAAACGGGAUAAUAUGGUUAUUCCUGUUCCAGAGGCGGAAAGCAACAUUGCCUACUAUGAAUCUGUCUACAGUGGGGAGUUCAAGAUGCCAAAGCAGCUUAUUCACAUACAGCCUUUUAGCUUGGACGCUGAGCAACCAGACUAUGACAUGGACUCGGAUGAUGAAGCAUUUGUGAAUAAAUUAAAAAAGAAAAUUGACAUCACUGCACUGCAAUUUGAGGAGAUGAUUGAUCGACUAGAAAAGGGCAGUGGCCAGCAGUUGGUAACUCUCCAGGAGGCAAAGUUGUUAUUGAAAGAGGAUGAUGACCUGAUCUGGGAAGUGUACGAAUAUUGGAUUCGGAAAAGGAAAAACUGUAGAGGUUGCUCACUUAUUCCAACUGUAAAACAAGAAAAGCGGGAUGGUUCCAGCACCAACGAUCCUUAUGUUGCAUUCAGGAGAAGAACAGAGAAAAUGCAGACUAGAAAGAAUCGUAAAAAUGACGAGGCUUCGUAUGAAAAGAUGUUGAAACUGCGCAGGGAUCUUAGUCGAGCUGUAACUAUCUUGGAGAUGAUUAAACGGCGAGAAAAAAGCAAGAGAGAAUUGUUGCAUCUGACUUUGGAAAUUGUAGAAAAAAGGCACAGUCUCGGUGAUUUCAGUGGAGAGAUUUUAUCAGAGGUCAUGGAACAGCGGCAGCAUGCAAAGCCUACCUACGCAGUGCCCAUUAUUCCAAUAUCAAAUAGCAAUCAAUUUAAACAUCAAGACUUUAUGGAGUUUAAAGAAUUCAAAGUUAAUAAGCAAGAGAAUGUGGAGAUUAUACGACCCAAGCGAAAAUAUGAGAAGAAAAAACAUAAAAUCUCUCAACCAAUUGCUGCUGCACCUCAGCAGCCAAGUCCUGCUGCACUGCCAGUCUUUAAUGCAAAGGAUAUAAACCAGUAUGACUUUCCCAGCUCGGACGAAGAGCCCUUCUCGCAGGUCCAUUCUGCAUCCUCAGAAGCAGAAGAAGAGAAUGAUCCAGAUGGUCCUUUUGCUUUCCGAAGGAAAGCAGGAUGUCAAUACUAUUCACCCCGCUUGGACCAAACGGGCAAUUGGCCAUGGUGUAGUACAGAAGAGGGAGGAUUAGGAGAUGUUCGUUAUAGAUACUGCCUCACUACACUGACUGUUCCCAGGAGGUGUAUUGGUUUUGCACGGAGGCGUGUCGGUCGAGGUGGAAGGAUUUUGUUGGACCGAGCGCACACGGCAAACGACAUUCUUCUUCAUCAGUUGGAUCCUGAGAUCCUCUCUUCCCCACCCCAUUCUCCAUUUAAUGAAUUUGCCAAUACCUCACAAAUAAAUACCUCGGAUCAUCCUUCUAGAGACCUCACUCAGAUUCUAGCAAACAUUAAGGCAUGCCGAUGGCAGCAUUUCAGACCCCGGUCACCAAAUCUUCAGGACAAUGAUGGUGAUGAACUGUCCUCCCGAAAGCUGUAUCGGGGUGUAAAUCGAAUCGUAACAGCACAACUUGGGACCCAGCCAUGUAGUACCUCUGUCUCCAGCAAAAGCAGUGGCACUGGUUCAACACAGAAUAGUGCAUUUACAGCAGAACAAUACCAGCAACAUCAACAGCAACUAUUACUGAUGCAGAAACAACAACUUGCACAGAUUCAGCAGCAGCUAGCACAUAGUAAUUCAGGCUCCAAUUCUUCACAGGGUUCUGUUUCAAAAACAUUGGAUUCAGUCAGUGCACAAUUUGCAGCCUCAGCUUUAAUGACAUCAGAGCAAUUGAUGGCAUACAAGGCAAAGGAGGAAGUGGUGCUUGGAAUCAAUGGUGUCCUUCAAGCCUCAGGAUCGUACAAGGGCUUACACCUCACUAGUACCACGCCAACAGCACUUGUACAAACCAGUCAAUCAUCAUCAUUAUCAGCAGGUUCAGCCUUACUGCCAUCCUGCAGCAACACACAGACAACAACAUCCCAUACAGCACUGAGUCACCAUGGAAAUACUACGAACUCAAGUCCUCAGGUUUUGCUUGGCAACAGCCUUCGUAUAGGUGUACCCAGCUCAGUAGCUGCUGUUAAUUCUGUCACCAGUCUGAAUGCUCGACAUAUACCACGAACUUUAAAUACUGUUCCAACAGCUGCCUUAAAACUGGCUUCAGCAGCAAAUUGUCAGGUGCCCAAGGUUGCAGGCUCCACCUCCAUGGAUGGAGUACCAAGGAAGUGUCUCUCCAUAAACACGUCAUUGGCUCUGCAAUUCAUAGCGCCAUAGAGACGUGAUGUUGCCACCCAGAAGGUGAAAUAGGAGUCAUAAAUGGAGACUUUACUACAGCACAUCGGGAAACUUUAAGGGUAGGAGCAGGAGGUUGGGAGGGAAAACCAUGACACUGAAAAGCCAGCACUAAACAGUAUAGCAGACAAUACAGUGGCGAUGGAAGUAACGUAGUGUCCACAAAGACGGCUGCAGCCUUGGGAACUCAUUUAAGUGCUAUGCAUCAAUAGCGUUUGUGAAUGCAAGGGAUGGCAGAAUGCAGCACAUUGCGUUUCCAUGGCAGCUCUGGGGACUUGAUGGCAAUGCACAUCUCAUGCUUUUUUGUUACUGUUGUUAAUAGGAAUUGACAUCUGUAAAUUAUGAUACAGCAAUUAUCUGUACAGUACUACAUAUUUGUAAUACACUUGUAUAUAUGUUACUUGAAUACUGAACUGUUCAUUCGUGAUGCUUUGCACUUGAAAGAAAAACAAAAUUGCAACCAGUAAGAGUGAGAUGUGAGAGAUCUAUAGAGAUGAAGUGUCAUCACAUCAUGUGCAUGGUGCGGAACCUGCUGUUUUAUCUAUUUAUUGUGCUGUGUUUACAGUUUUGUACACUGUACCUUCAUUGGUUCCUGUGCUGUAGUAAAUGUGUUAGGUAGCUGUGGACUCCUUGGUAUUUUGUAAAUGGUGAACAUACUUGGUUCCCCUCUGGGUCCCUGAGUUUCUGUGUAUCAUGUAAAAAUGGUGACAUACAUACAGAUUUGAAAAUUAAGGCAUCGGUUUGUAAAUGGGGAUGGAACUACUUCAUGGAGACAUAGGGAUCUUCCACUUAUAUUUGUUCUAACGCAAGUAACAAGCUGGAAAUGAAGUCACACUUUUUUUUCAGAAGCAGAGAAGCUUCUGCAAAAUUAUUUUAGCACUAAUUAUUUUCUAUGCUGCUUAGAUUUUUUUGCUCAUUUGAGUUUAAACAAAUUGAACCUCCUUCAAACAAAUCUGAGCUGUAUCAGAGUUUCCCUUGCUUUUUCAUAUUUCGUUCAUCAUUUUAUUUUUGUAUCUGUUCAAGUUGUAAAUUUCUUGAUUUUGUGCUCCUGUACACACACAGACUUCAUUCUUCACUUGUUCAAAAAGGAGAAGAAACAAAAAGGAGAUAAGGGAGAUGAAUGCAGUAGUUGCUGUACGUGUAUCAUCAUUCCAGUUUCUGAAACAGCCAGCUUUUACUUUCAGAUUCUUGUGAAGGCUGUAAGGCCAGAACCACGAUAUCGGGUGCCUUCCUUUGGAAAUAAUAGACCUCUCUUCUGUGAAGAGAUUGGUACUUAACAGACUACUACUAGUGCUUUGUCAGUACCUGAGUCUGAAUGCCCAUUCCAAUGGCAUAUUUAUCCUCAAGGUUUUUAAUCCCACCUGGAAUUGUGACAGAACUCUCACAAAAUAAACCCAGGGCAUUACAUGUUGACCAACAGCUGUGUUUUUUUUUAAAUUUUGUAUCGUGUGUUGGAGUUAUUUUUCUUGCUACAUUAGAAAGAAAAGUAAUUUGUGUAUUUACAGUAUUUUGUAAUUGAAGCAUUAUGAAAUGUGAGCUCUCACCAUUUUACCAUGCUGGUAAGUUAGAUUUAAAAUCUGGGGGGAAAUUAUGUGGCUGGUAAUGCAUUGAGGAGGUAACUUAUUGGACCACUUCAUAAAUAACUUAAGUUUAUAGCAUACAUCUUUUUCAAGACCUAAUGCUUAUAUUGAAAAAAAAGUAAAUUGAUCCUUGUUGAAUUUCAGUAA
This is an RNA transcript of Amblyraja radiata (thorny skate), 4600 nucleotides long. It is a transcript of the gene named enhancer of polycomb homolog 1, with no coding region annotated. The record is from RefSeq and is a predicted model, not a curated record. The transcript is spliced from 15 exons. NCBI's taxonomy places the organism in Eukaryota, Metazoa, Chordata, Chondrichthyes, Rajiformes, Rajidae.